GAUCCUGGCUCAGGAUGAACGCUAGCUACAGGCUUAACACAUGCAAGUCGAGGGGCAGCAUUAAAGUUUGCUUGCAAACUUUAGAUGGCGACCGGCGCACGGGUGAGUAACACGUAUCCAACCUGCCGAUAACUCGGGGAUAGCCUUUCGAAAGAAAGAUUAAUACCUGAUGGUAUGAUGAGAUUGCAUGGUAUCAUCAUUAAAGAUUUAUCGGUGUACGAUGGGGAUGCGUU
Molecule: ribosomal RNA, 233 nt
Filed under: uncultured bacterium
Lineage: Bacteria
Description: partial 16S ribosomal RNA
Rfam family: Bacterial small subunit ribosomal RNA
Source: RNAcentral